GAUUGAGUUUGAUCCUGGCUCAAGAUGAACGCUGGCGGCGUGCUUAACACAUGCAAGUCGAGCGAAGCGCUCACGCGGAAUUUUUCGAAAGGAAGCGGGAGUGACUUAGCGGCGGACGGGUGAGUAACGCGUGGGUAACCUGCCCCAUACCGGGGGAUAACGGUUAGAAAUGACCGCUAAUACCGCUUAAGCGCGCGAGGCCGCAUGGCCGCGCGCGAAAAACUCCGGUGGUAUGGGAUGGGCCCGCGUCUGAUUAGGUAGUUGGCGGGGUAAGGGCCCACCAAGCCGACGAUCAGUAGCCGACCUGAGAGGGUGGCCGGCCACAUUGGGACUGAGACACGGCCCAAACUCCUACGGGAGGCAGCAGUGGGGAAUAUUGCGCAAUGGGGGAAACCCUGACGCAGCAACGCCGCGUGAGUGAGGAAGUAUCUCGGUAUGUAAAGCUCUAUCAGCGGGGAAGAAGAAAGACGGUACCCGACUAAGAAGCCCCGGCUAACUACGUGCCAGCAGCCGCGGUAAUACGUAGGGGGCGAGCGUUAUCCGGAUUUACUGGGUGUAAAGGGAGCGUAGACGGCGGCGCAAGUCUGAAGUGGAAGCCCGUGGCUCAACCGCGGAACCGCUUUGGAAACUGCGAAGCUGGAGUGCUGGA
This 649-nucleotide ribosomal RNA is filed under the name uncultured bacterium. RNAcentral describes it as "bacterial SSU rRNA". It matches the Rfam family "Bacterial small subunit ribosomal RNA", at positions 1 to 653 of the family's 1533-position model. The record is from RNAcentral.